Molecule: ribosomal RNA, 301 nt
Filed under: uncultured bacterium
Lineage: Bacteria
Description: partial 16S ribosomal RNA
Rfam family: Bacterial small subunit ribosomal RNA
Source: RNAcentral
CAGUAGCCGCGGUAAAACAGAGGGUGCGAGCGUUAAUCGGAUUUACUGGGCGUAAAGCGUGCGUAGGCGGCUUCUUAAGUCGGAUGUGAAAUCCCUGAGCUUAACUUAGGAAUUGCAUUCGAUACUGGGAAGCUAGAGUAUGGGAGAGGAUGGUAGAAUUCCAGGUGUAGCGGUGAAAUGCGUAGAGAUCUGGAGGAAUACCGAUGGCGAAGGCAGCCAUCUGGCCUAAUACUGACGCUGAGGUACGAAAGCAUGGGGAGCAAACAGGAUUAGAUACCCCUGUAGUCCCUGUCUCUUAUAC